This 433-nucleotide ribosomal RNA is filed under the name uncultured bacterium. Its description in RNAcentral is "partial 16S ribosomal RNA". It matches the Rfam family "Bacterial small subunit ribosomal RNA", at positions 29 to 507 of the family's 1533-position model. The record is from RNAcentral.
AACGAACGCUGGCGGCAUGCCUAACACAUGCAAGUCGAACGAGACCUUCGGGUCUAUUGGCGCACGGGUGCGUAACGCGUGGGAACCUGCCCUUAGGUUCGGAAUAACUCCCCGAAAGGGGUGCUAAUACCGGAUAAUGUCUUCGGACCAAAGAUUUAUCGCCUUUGGAUGGGCCCGCGUUGGAUUAGCUAGUUGGUAGGGUAAAAGCCUACCAAGGCGACGAUCCAUAGCUGGUCUGAGAGGAUGAUCAGCCACACUGGGACUGAGACACGGCCCAGACUCCUACGGGAAGCAGCAGUGGGGAAUAUUGGACAAUGGGCGCAAGCCUGAUCCAGCCAUGCCGCGUGAGUGAUGAAGGCCUUAGGGUUGUAAAGCUCUUUUACCCGGGAUGAUAAUGACAGUACCGGGAGAAUAAGCUCCGGCUAACUCCGUG